This 81-nucleotide transfer RNA is filed under the name Neoroseomonas lacus. RNAcentral's name for it is "tRNA-Leu". Lineage: Bacteria; Pseudomonadati; Pseudomonadota; Alphaproteobacteria; Acetobacterales; Acetobacteraceae. The record is from RNAcentral.
GCUGAGGUGUAGCGGACGUCGCGCGGCCGCUCAGGCCGGCCGUGGCGACGGACCUUGACGAUGGUGGCGUCGGCCAUGGCG